GCGCUGGUGCUGGAAUUGGCAGACAGGCAUGCUUGAGGGGCAUGUGCCGCAAGGCGUCGGGGUUCAAGUCCCCGCCAGCGCA
This 82-nucleotide transfer RNA is filed under the name Chloroflexota bacterium. RNAcentral's name for it is "Chloroflexi bacterium (permafrost metagenome) tRNA-Leu". RNAcentral also lists the same sequence under 2 other names. The record is from RNAcentral. Lineage: Bacteria; Bacillati; Chloroflexota.